RNAcentral lists this ribosomal RNA (462 nucleotides) under uncultured bacterium. RNAcentral's name for it is "partial 16S ribosomal RNA". It matches the Rfam family "Bacterial small subunit ribosomal RNA", at positions 28 to 507 of the family's 1533-position model. The record is from RNAcentral.
GACGAACGCUGGCGGCGUGCUUAACACAUGCAAGUCGAGCGGUAAGGCCUUUCGGGGUACACGAGCGGCGAACGGGUGAGUAACACGUGGGUGAUCUGCCCUGCACUUCGGGAUAAGCCUGGGAAACUGGGUCUAAUACCGGAUAUGACCUCCUAUCGCAUGGUGGGUGGUGGAAAGAUUUAUCGGUGCAGGAUGGGCCCGCGGCCUAUCAGCUUGUUGGUGGGGUAAUGGCCUACCAAGGCGACGACGGGUAGCCGACCUGAGAGGGUGACCGGCCACACUGGGACGGAGACACGGCCCAGCCUCCUCCGGGAGGAAGCAGGGGGGAGUAGUGCAAAAGGGGCGAAAGCCUGAUGCAGCGACGCCGCGUGAGGGAUGACGGCCUUCGGUUUGUAAACCUCUUUCAGCAGGGACGAAGCGAAAGUGACGGUCCCUGCAGAAGAAGCACCGGCUAACUACGUG